This 28-nucleotide non-coding RNA is filed under the name Mus musculus (house mouse). The record is from RNAcentral. Lineage: Eukaryota; Metazoa; Chordata; Mammalia; Rodentia; Muridae.
UAGCACUGAAUGGCCUCCUACCAUUUGU